Molecule: ribosomal RNA, 478 nt
Filed under: uncultured bacterium
Lineage: Bacteria
Description: bacterial SSU rRNA
Rfam family: Bacterial small subunit ribosomal RNA
Source: RNAcentral
CGUGAGCAUGUGGUUUAAUUCGGAUGCAACCGCGAAGAACCUUACCUACCUCUUGACAUCCAGAGAACUNAGCAGAGAUGCUUUGGUGCNUCGGNAACUCUGAAGACAGGUGCUGCAUGGCUGUCGUCAGCUCGUGUUGUGAAAAUGUUGGGUUAAGUCCCGCAACGAGCGCAACCCUUAUCCUUUGUUGCCAGCGGUCCGGCCGGGAACUCAAAGGAGACUGCCAGUGAUAAACUGGAGGAAGGUGGGGAUGACGUCAAGUCAUCAUGGCCCUUACGAGUAGGGCUACACACGUGCUACAAUGGCAUAUACAAAGAGAAGCGACCUCGCGAGAGCAAGCGGACCUCAUAAAGUAUGUCGUAGUCCGGAUUGGAGUCUGCAACUCGACUCCAUGAAGUCGGAAUCGCUAGUAAUCGUGGAUCAGAAUGCCACGGUGAAUACGUUCCCGGGCCUUGUACACACCGCCCGUCACACCAUG